This 2469-nucleotide long non-coding RNA is filed under the name Glycine max (soybean). RNAcentral describes it as "long non-coding RNA (GMAX_LNC003834)". Lineage: Eukaryota; Viridiplantae; Streptophyta; Magnoliopsida; Fabales; Fabaceae. The record is from RNAcentral.
UAGAAUUUAUAGUAGUCUAUGGGGAUUGUGGAGGCUUGGGGAUGUGUUCGAAUAAUAAAAGUUGGUGGGUGGGAUGAUGUGGGAACUCAACAGCUGGACAGCAAUAUGUUUCAUUAGCAUAAUGAUCAUAGUUUAUACUGGUCCAUUACGUGGUGCUUCUGUUAUUUUACACACAUUCGGCGCAAGGGCUAUGACUUCCUAGGUUUGUUUUGUUCCACCAAACCAAACCUGGGUUCAGCUCUUGCAAGCGUGUAGGAUUUUUAUCCAAAGUGCUACUACAACUUGAGGAUUUAAAAAUGUAGUUUCGGGUAUCUUCCACGGGACCUUUUUGGCUUGCCUAGUCAGCGGCAAGGAGGGAUUGGUUUCAUUCCUUGACAUGCAUGUAUGUAAAUUCUAAAGAUGUACACCGUCCGGUUUCUAUCUUUCUAGCAACUUCUGGCCCUGUAUUUGCUGCAAAUCACAUCACAAUAUCACAAUUACACAUGUGUAUAGAGAGAAAUUAAGAGUCAUGGUAACAAGUUAAAGUGAUGAACCUCACUCAAAUUUUCACCUGUUCUUAAUUAUGUACAGAAAGAUGUGUGUUAUACUACUACUUUUGAUUGGUUAUUAUUAAUUAUAUUAAUUCACUACUCUUUUUUUUCAAUACACAAAAAUGUGAUUUUCUUUAAAACAAAACGUGUUAUAUAUACUUUCAUAUAAUUUGAGUAGGACAAUUUCCUGCUUUUUUUCCCCAGCAAAGAUGAACAUGCAUAUUGAUCAUUGGUAUUAGCGGUACGAAAAACUCAUUUAUAAGUCAGAAACCAAAAGAAGCUUUACAGCACCCACCACCCUUGGUUAUAACCUAUUUAUAUUAUGCAACUAAAAUAUGAGAUAACCAAUGAUAUACAAAAAAGAAUAAGACCCUUAAGAAGGCACUAAAUCACACGAUAUGCCCGAAAUUCUCAUCAACAACCAAAUGCCGAAGGCCAAGACAUCCCCCACUGACAAUUUCCUGCUAUGUAAUAGCUCCGGCACAAAAAAUAUGGCAUGCUUUCACUACAAGAGAAGAGCGGAUAGCUCUGAAAUCUGAAAGGAUUUUCUAGACAGCAGAGAACCGGUUUAACUAUCCGUUAGUAUUUACUAAGAUCCUAUAAAAAAAUGUUUUUUUCUUCAUGUUUUUUAGCAUAAUUUUCAUUAUCAAAUAAAAUUUACUCCUAUAGUUCGUUUAGAUAAUUUUUUUUAACAAGCCUUCAGAGAGAUAAAAAUAAGAAAGUAAUUUUUAUUGAAAUUAUCUCAUUUAAUUUUUCGAUAGAAAAUUUUAAUUAUACAUAUGUUUAUUUCAACUAAUAGAAAAAACUAAAUUUAUUUUCUUCUCUUAUAAUUACUUACUAAAAAAACUCCAUCCAAACAAAAUUUAUAUAUAAUAAUAAGAUGUGUUUCAUUCAUUAAAAUUACAGUAUCAAAUCGAACAAAAAAUAAGAAAAAAUAACACUGGAUAAGACAUAAAUUACAUUACAUUUUUUUAUCCUAUAAUUCACUUAACAAAUAAUUGACAUUACAAAUAAAAUAAUAUAAAAUUUACUAAAAUAUUCUUAUAAAAUUUGAUCUUAAUAAAAUUUAUAUCAAAUUCAAUAUGUUUAUCCAAAUAAAAGAGAGAGAUUUAAAUAAAAAAAAUCUAGUGUUUCCUUUUUAAAAGGAUUAUGUGAGUAAGUUUUUUUUUUUUUCCGUUGUUAAAUAGAUAAAAGUAAGAUAAAUAUAUCUUUUUAAUACUUCAUAUAUGUGGUACAAAAAAAAAAUCAAUUAUUCCCUUUUUAAAUUAAAUGGGAAAAAAAUUAUUUAUUCCGUUAAGUAUCGUAAUUUUUAACGAACGGACACUAGGUAUGUUAACUUUACAUGUUUAUUUAAGAGCAUUCCUCUUAAUUGUAACACGUAUUUUAGAGUUUAAAAUUAUACAAAUAAUAUCAUUCCUCUUGUUGCUUUCCACGCAUCUUUUGUAAAACCACAAAUUUUAGAAUUUUACUCAUCUACGAUCCAUCGAAUAGAUCAAUUCAAAUGUUGUAAGUGGUAAGUGGUAACGAAAAUGAAGGCGUUGAGAGGAGGGGUGAAAGGGGGUGAGUGUGGAUUCCUCUCAGUACUUCCUAAUUUCCACUGGAAGGAACCUUCUUAAUUAGAUUAUGCAUUUAUCAUCAAACAAAUCAGGUGUAAUUAGAAUGAGUCAGUCACAAAGACGAACGCAAACGCAUACAUCUAUAUGUAUUAAUUAACAUCAUGCUAUAAUUUGCACCUCUGACAAUAAAACAUAAUUGAAAGUUCAAGAUUCUUCGGCAAACCUGGAGAGACGGAGAUAGAAACAUGCAUGCAAUAAUUCAACCACCAACAACAACGUGAAUGUGAGGGAAAAUCGUCCGAGGUGUGUUGAGAGUGGAGAUUUCCUUUCUGCAAAAUUAUUACUCCAAAGAUGUUUAAGUAAAACACGUCGUCUAGUCUUUG